Molecule: small RNA, 112 nt
Filed under: Escherichia coli
Lineage: Bacteria; Pseudomonadati; Pseudomonadota; Gammaproteobacteria; Enterobacterales; Enterobacteriaceae
Description: partial RtT sRNA
Rfam family: RtT RNA
About the family: This family represents a bacterial cis-regulatory element known as RtT RNA.
Source: RNAcentral
AUUCUGCCCAUGCGGGGAAGGAUGAGAAGCUUCGACUAAGGUUCGGCUCGAGCGUCAGCGAGAGAGCGUUGCCGCAGGCAACGACCCGAAGGGCGAAGCGCGCAGCGCUGAG